UUCCAUAUCCGACCGUCCGUCUUAUAUAAAAUUUUUUAUGAUUAGUAUUUUAUUAUUGUUAGAUGAUAAAAUAUGAAUAAUACUUUAUGCAUGACUUAUCUUUUUAUUUUUUUUAAAAUAAAACAGACGGUCAAAUGUUAAACAUGUAAACUCAG
This 155-nucleotide microRNA precursor is filed under the name Oryza nivara. RNAcentral describes it as "MIR812 microRNA precursor family". It matches the Rfam family "MIR812 microRNA precursor family", at positions 27 to 192 of the family's 205-position model. The record is from Rfam by way of RNAcentral. Lineage: Eukaryota; Viridiplantae; Streptophyta; Magnoliopsida; Poales; Poaceae.